RNAcentral lists this transfer RNA (84 nucleotides) under Rhodococcus wratislaviensis. RNAcentral's name for it is "tRNA-Val(aac)". Lineage: Bacteria; Bacillati; Actinomycetota; Actinomycetes; Mycobacteriales; Nocardiaceae. The record is from RNAcentral.
GGCGAGGUGGUGGAGGUCUUCACCUCCAAGGCCGUCAACGCCGGCCCGAGCCGCGACUGGCAGACGUUCGUCGUCUCCCCGCGC